GGCGCCCUGCCCCAACCGCCCCCUGCGCUAUCCUCCAGCUGGCCCGCGCUGGGGCCCCGGAGGCGCAGCGUCUGGUACAUUUACAGUGAUUACAUCAUCAAGGAGAAGACAGUCUUACUGCAGAAGAAGGACAGUGAGGGGUUCGGGUUCGUGCUCCGGGGGGCCAAGGCGCAGACCCCCAUCGAGGAAUUCACCCCCACCCCGGCCUUCCCGGCGCUGCAGUACCUCGAGUCUGUGGACGAGGGUGGCGUGGCAUGGCGGGCUGGACUAC
Molecule: long non-coding RNA, 271 nt
Filed under: Rattus norvegicus (Norway rat)
Lineage: Eukaryota; Metazoa; Chordata; Mammalia; Rodentia; Muridae
Description: long non-coding RNA NONRATT000653
Source: RNAcentral